RNAcentral lists this small RNA (615 nucleotides) under Vigna angularis var. angularis. RNAcentral describes it as "Non-protein coding transcript". Lineage: Eukaryota; Viridiplantae; Streptophyta; Magnoliopsida; Fabales; Fabaceae. The record is from RNAcentral.
UUUUUUUUUUAAAAAGGCAUAGGAAAAUGAAGAAGGUGGGCGGCUGCACUAUUGAAGUGGUGGGGAGGGGCUUCUAGUGGUGUGGACGGCUGGUGAGUGGUGGGUCUCUCCACUUUGACUCCAGCCACCAGAAACAUUAUUAUUCCACUAUGAAGUGCUCCAACAUUCAUAAGACCACCUUCAUCAUCUUCUUAAGUAGGCAUGACACCGAGGAAGCAAGGGAGAUGGCUAAGGUUCAUCCGGCAACACACAAAAGGAGAUUCACUUCUUCAUUUUAGAGAUUCUUGAAGGAGGAAAGAAGAAGAAGGGAGGGAGAGCUGGACACUGUGGCAGGGGACUGGAACGGCAGAGGAGGAACACAGUGCAGAGAUUGAUUCAAGGUUUGCAAUGAAGUCUUCAAGAGAUGUUGUCGCGGAAAUUUCCUUGGAGCAAGAGUUGGAGGUUACAGAUGUUGCGGAGUAGUCUUCUUAUGAAUUUCCUGAUUGAACACUUGUAGUGUUUAAUCCUUUCAACUGUUCAAGUUUAAAUUUUCAGUUUUUUUUACUUUUGGAUGACUGUAAUUUCGCACUUAAAUUACAAGUCAGGCUCCGACUGUUCUCUAUAUUUGAAUGUUGA